Molecule: unclassified non-coding RNA, 16 nt
Filed under: Severe acute respiratory syndrome coronavirus 2
Lineage: Riboviria; Orthornavirae; Pisuviricota; Pisoniviricetes; Nidovirales; Coronaviridae
Description: RNA (5'-R(P*CP*CP*CP*UP*AP*UP*AP*AP*CP*UP*UP*AP*AP*UP*CP*U)-3') from Severe acute respiratory syndrome coronavirus 2 (PDB 7DFG, chain T)
Source: RNAcentral
CCCUAUAACUUAAUCU